This 71-nucleotide transfer RNA is filed under the name Bos taurus (domestic cattle). It matches the Rfam family "tRNA". From Rfam's summary of the family: Transfer RNA (tRNA) molecules are approximately 80 nucleotides in length. Their secondary structure includes four short double-helical elements and three loops (D, anti-codon, and T loops). RNAcentral also lists the same sequence under 5 other names. Lineage: Eukaryota; Metazoa; Chordata; Mammalia; Artiodactyla; Bovidae. The record is from Rfam by way of RNAcentral.
CCCUGGUGGCUCUGAUGGUAAAGAAUCUGCCUGCAAUGCAGAAGACCCGGGUUCACUUCCUGGAUCAGGAA